CUUGAUGGACCCCAGCCAAAGGGGUUCGCUACGGCCCUGCCCGUAGGUGGCCAGCAACGCCUGCGCCUC
Molecule: antisense RNA, 69 nt
Filed under: Mycobacterium parmense
Lineage: Bacteria; Bacillati; Actinomycetota; Actinomycetes; Mycobacteriales; Mycobacteriaceae
Description: ASpks TB sRNA
Rfam family: ASpks TB sRNA
Source: Rfam by way of RNAcentral